ACGAACGCUGGCGGCAUGCUUAACACAUGCAAGUCGCACGGAAAGGCCCUGCUUUUGUGGGGUGCUCGAGUGGCGAACGGGUGAGUAACACGUGAGUAACCUGCCCUUGACUUUGGGAUAACUUCAGGAAACUGGGGCUAAUACCGGAUAGGAGCUCCUGCUGCAUGGUGGGGGUUGGAAAGUUUCGGCGGUUGGGGAUGGACUCGCGGCUUAUCAGCUUGUUGGUGGGGUAGUGGCUUACCAAGGCUUUGACGGGUAGCCGGCCUGAGAGGGUGACCGGCCACAUGGGGACUGAGAUACGGCCCAGACUCCUACGGGAGGCAGCAGUGGGGAAUAUUGCACAAUGGGCGGAAGCCUGAUGCAGCAACGCCGCGUGCGGGAUGACGGCCUUCGGGUUGUAAACCGCUUUCGCCUGUGACGAAGCGUGAGUGACGGUAAUGGGUAAAGAAGCACCGGCUAACUACGUG
This 467-nucleotide ribosomal RNA is filed under the name uncultured bacterium. RNAcentral describes it as "partial 16S ribosomal RNA". It matches the Rfam family "Bacterial small subunit ribosomal RNA", at positions 29 to 507 of the family's 1533-position model. The record is from RNAcentral.